Molecule: ribosomal RNA, 512 nt
Filed under: uncultured bacterium
Lineage: Bacteria
Description: partial 16S ribosomal RNA
Rfam family: Bacterial small subunit ribosomal RNA
Source: RNAcentral
GACGAACGCUGGCGGCGUGCCUAAUACGUGCAAGUCGAGCGGACAGAAGGGAGCUUGCUCCCGGAAGUCAGCGGCGGACGGGUGAGUAACACGUGGGCAACCUGCCUGUAAGACUGGGAUAACUUCGGGAAACCGGAGCUAAUACCGGAUAGGUUCUUCCUCCGCAUGGGGGAAGCUGGAAAGACGGUUGCGGCUGUCACUUACAGAUGGGCCCGCGGCGCAUUAGCUAGUUGGUGGGGUAAUGGCCCACCAAGGCGACGCUGCGUAGCCGACCUGAGAGGGUGAUCGGCCACACUGGGACUGAGACACGGCCCAGACUCCUACGGGAGGCAGCAGUAGGGAAUCUUCCGCAAUGGACGGAAGUCUGACGGAGCAACGCCGCGUGAGCGAAGAAGGCCUUCGGGUCGUAAAGCUCUGUUGUUAGGGAAGAACAAGUGCCAGAGUAACUGCUGGCACCUUGACGGUACCUGACCAGAAAGCCACGGCUAACUACGUGCCAGCCGCCGCCGUAA